GACGAACGCUGGCGGCGUGCUUAACACAUGCAAGUCGAGCGGUAAGGCCCUUUCGGGGGUACACGAGCGGCGAACGGGUGAGUAACACGUGGGUGACCUGCCCUCAGCUCUGGGAUAAGCCCGGGAAACUGGGUCUAAUACCGGAUAUGACUCCAUGACGCAUGUUGUGGGGUGGAAAGCCUUGUGCGGCUGAGGAUGGGCCCGCGGCCUAUCAGCUUGUUGGUGGGGUGAUGGUCACCAAGGCGACGACGGGUAGCCGGCCUGAGAGGGCGACCGGCCACACUGGGACUGAGAUACGGCCCAGACUCCUACGGGAGGCAGCAGUGGGGAAUCUUGCGCAAUGGGCGAAAGCCUGACGCAGCGACGCCGCGUGAGGGAUGACGGCCU
RNAcentral lists this ribosomal RNA (387 nucleotides) under uncultured bacterium. Its description in RNAcentral is "bacterial SSU rRNA". It matches the Rfam family "Bacterial small subunit ribosomal RNA", at positions 28 to 417 of the family's 1533-position model. The record is from RNAcentral.